This is a long non-coding RNA of Pecten maximus, 371 nucleotides long. RefSeq lists it as uncharacterized. The transcript is spliced from 3 exons. NCBI's taxonomy places the organism in Eukaryota, Metazoa, Mollusca, Bivalvia, Pectinida, Pectinidae. The record is from RefSeq and is a predicted model, not a curated record.
CAUAAAAGAUCAGGCGAUGGCGUGAUUACCUUUCCGGGUGAUAUAGGGAUACAUUUUGACACGGAAAACUCCUCUGUCAGCCUCUCUCUACGACGUAACUAUGCUCUGAAUGAGAACGUGCCUGUCUACGUCAUUGAAGAAAACGGCAUAGUCCAACAACAUUUACCUGUUGUAACGGAUACAGCAUAUUACCAAGACGUAAAACAUGGGGCAGCUUUUACGGUCAAAUUUGACGAAAAAACAUCAAAAGUUUCAAAUCUGUUUGGGACACUGAGAUUACACAAUGCGAAUUACUUUCUGGAGAGGUCUGGUGACACUGAUAGCAAUGAGAACUCGCACUUUCGCCUGCGGAAGUACAAGGUCAAAGCCGG